RNAcentral lists this ribosomal RNA (460 nucleotides) under uncultured bacterium. RNAcentral's name for it is "partial 16S ribosomal RNA". It matches the Rfam family "Bacterial small subunit ribosomal RNA", at positions 338 to 795 of the family's 1533-position model. The record is from RNAcentral.
CCUACGGGAGGCUGCAGUGAGGAAUAUUGGUCAAUGGACGAGAGUCUGAACCAGCCAAGUAGCGUGAAGGAUGACUGCCCUAUGGGUUGUAAACUUCUUUUAUAUGGGAAUAAAAUGUUCCACGUGUGGGAUUUUGUAUGUACCAUAUGAAUAAGGAUCGGCUAACUCCGUGCCAGCAGCCGCGGUAAUACGGAGGAUCCGAGCGUUAUCCGGAUUUAUUGGGUUUAAAGGGAGCGUAGGUGGAUUGUUAAGUCAGUUGUGAAAGUUUGCGGCUCAACCGUAAAAUUGCAGUUGAAACUGGCAGUCUUGAGUGCAGUAGAGGUGGGCGGAAGUCGUGGUGUAGCGGUGAAAUGCUUAGAUAUCACGAAGAACUCCGAUUGCGAAGGCAGUUCACUGGACUGCAACUGACACUGAGGCUCGAAAGUGUGGGUAUCAAACAGGAUUAGAUACCCGGGUAGUC